UGUCGUUCCUCCACGUAGUUAAAGACCGAGAGAGUUGUCGGUUAAGCGCAUGCAUACGAGGGUUUGCGAACAGUAACAAUAACACUGAAGCGGAAUAAAAAUAAGGUUUCGUGGAAGAUGGUGUUAGGAAGGUAUUAGGCGACGUGCCCGCCUGCCUAAUAACCUAGCCCUAAUUGCUGUGUGUAACGUUUCCAGACCGUUUACCCUGCAACGUAUGGUGCAAAGUGCCGUAUUAAGACCUUUCCCUUAAGGAAAAGAAGAAGAAAAAAAGAAAAAAAAGGGGGGAAAAGAAAACAGGGUAAAGAGAAAAAGAUCAUGCAUAAACCUAAGCGUUUCACUGGAAGUAAAACGCGAGUUUAUCGCUUCCUUACAGAGAUGGAACCAAGGACAGCAAAUGCUGACGAGGAGAAGAGACGGACGAGCGUUUGCUUGCGGUUAAUACCGAAGGGACGGGAUGAAACAAGGAAGCCAGAAUGCAGCGGCCCCUCGAUAUCACCAGGAACUGCUACAGGAGGAGGCGUUCUGGCACGGGUAACUAGGGUAAGUAUGGCUAAUGACCGUUAGCAGUUAUUUCGGCCUCCCCGAGGCAGCGCUGAGGACUGAGUAACCCCUUCCUGCCCUGUGGCUGCUGUUGCCUGUAUCUGCCUUAGCUUUGCUUUGGCUGUUUCUCUUUUGUUUUGUUAUCGUACACGCAGCUACGGAAAGGAAUAGAUGUCAUACUUACUUUUUUAGAUUAAUUGCCACGGCUGAAGUUGAAGAGACCAAGAAACGUAAGCCGCGAAGGGGCACAUCUUGAAGAGAGGGGGCUAGACCUAGCGAUCCAGUUGUUCGUUUUGGUCGUCGCCUGUGAGGCCAGCAUGCAAGAGUAAGAGGAAGCUAGGAGCAGUCUCAAAAAGAGAUGGAACCAAGGACAGCAAAUGCUGACGAGGAGAAGAGACGGACGAGCGUUUGCUUGCGGUUAAUACCGAAGGGACGGGAUGAAACAAGGAAGCCAGAAUGCAGCGGCCCCUCGAUAUCACCAGGAACUGCUACAGGAGGAGGCGUUCUGGCACGGGUAACUAGGCUCUCCGAGCUGAAUCCUAGCCCUGAAGGAAAAAGCACUGGGGGGAGGCUACUCGGACACCUGCCAUGUCGAGGGCAGGGGCAGGAGCUGACCCUUCCCCGACGGACGGAUGGACGGACAGACGCUGGUGCGGCGGUGACUCUUUGGAUAUCGUAGGUAAGGGGAGGCACGCUGGUGCCGAGCUCCAGGGCGGUUUGCCUGAACACGAUGCCUGAGGCAGGAGGUUAUGCAUUGUGUCCGGGGCUGGGAGCUGGUCCCCGAGUCCCAUGUACUUGGGAGUGCCUGCGCUUGCCAGGGAGCCCGGUGCUGUUCCCAGAGCUGCGGGGAAUUUCCCUUGCGUUGCCUGGACCCUCGGGGCUCUUGGGGGUGUUUCCCCUCAUCGCGAGGGCUGCCAGAGCCCCUCCAGGGCUGCGUGAGGUCCCCGAACCGCUCCCGGAUUUGCUUUUGGCACUCCGCAGUGUCGCUCGUGUGCCUGGGGCAGCCUGCAGGCGCCAUCCUGUCAGCCGCGUUGAGCCCUGCGGCGUGCCUGGUGAUCCCUCUGGUGUGUGCCAAGGCCCUUCCUCUGUAUUUUGGUCUGCCCCAGAGCCCUGCACUUGCCCUCUGAUGCCCUCAGGACCCCUCAGUUCACAUUCUGGGUUGCCCCCGAGCCCUCUGCGUGCCUUUCGGUGCGCCCCGUGGCCCUGUGUGUGUUUUGCGGCACGCCGCAGAGGUCUCUGUUUAGCUUUUUCUCCUGUCCUGGAGUUUUCUGGGUGCUUCUGGGUGUGCCCCAGGGCCCUCCUUUUGGUGCCCCCAGAGUCACUCUGUUUGCUCUAUCGUUGUUCUUUUUUUUUUUUUUUUUUUUUUCUUGACUUGUGUUGCACCCAGAGCUCUCGAUUUGUUCUCUUGUGCUCCGCAUACUCCCCUUUCCGCACUCUACACCCCAGGCAGGGCUCUCCCUUCAGCUCUCAGCAAGCUGCUGUCAGGAGAGUGGGGGUGCCUCUGCUGCCCUGGCAGCCCCAGCUGUCCCUGAAGGGGCUGAUGGCCAGGCCCCCUGCCCAGUUCCUGCAGGCCCACAGCUGCGGGCCCUGGGGCUGGGAUGAGUGCCAGGGGGAGCUGGGUGGCAGGACAGGCCCCAGGUGGGGCUGAUGGCAAGGGCAGGCCCACAUUUGGGGGCUGGGGCCGCAGUUGGGGGGAGCUGGCGCUGGGGCAGGAGCUGGGCAGCGGAGCUGCCACGGAGCACGGCCCUUCGGGACCAGCCCGGCGGCCGCCCCGCGGAGGAGGUGAGCGGGGCCGGGGGAGGCGCGCUGCAGGCUGCGGGUCCCGCAUGUGCCGGGGGUCCCGGCGGCUGGGAGCGU
This is a long non-coding RNA of Dromaius novaehollandiae (emu), 2397 nucleotides long. RefSeq lists it as uncharacterized. The record is from RefSeq and is a predicted model, not a curated record. The transcript has 3 exons. NCBI's taxonomy places the organism in Eukaryota, Metazoa, Chordata, Aves, Casuariiformes, Dromaiidae.